This 253-nucleotide ribosomal RNA is filed under the name uncultured bacterium. RNAcentral's name for it is "partial 16S ribosomal RNA". It matches the Rfam family "Bacterial small subunit ribosomal RNA", at positions 524 to 776 of the family's 1533-position model. The record is from RNAcentral.
UACAGAGGGUGCAAGCGUUAAUCGGAAUUACUGGGCGUAAAGCGUGCGUAGUCGGUUAUUUAAGUCGGGUGUGAAAGCCCCGGGCUCAACCUGGGAAUUGCAUUCGAUACUGGAUAGCUAGAGUUCGGCAGAGGGAAGCGGAAUUUCCGGUGUAGCGGUGAAAUGCGUAGAUAUCGGAAGGAACAUCAGUGGCGAAAGCGGCUUCCUGGACCAGAACUGACGAUCAGGCUCGAAAGCGUGGGGAGCGAACAGG